CGAACGGGUGAGUAACACGUGAGCAACCUGCCCCGAAGACCGGGAUAACAGUGGGAAACCGCUGCUAAUACCGGAUGCCCUUCUAUGGUCGCAUGGCCUAAGAAGGAAAUGAAUUUCGCUUCGGGAGGGGCUCGCGGGCUAUCAGCUUGUUGGUGGGGUAACGGCUUCCCAAGGCGACGACGGGUAGCUGGUCUGAGAGGAUGGCCAGCCACAUUGGGACUGAGAUACGGCCCAG
Molecule: ribosomal RNA, 235 nt
Filed under: uncultured bacterium
Lineage: Bacteria
Description: partial 16S ribosomal RNA
Rfam family: Bacterial small subunit ribosomal RNA
Source: RNAcentral